CAAAAAGACAUCAUUGAGAUCAGCUCUUAGAUAGCUAUUGUCUUUUUUUUAAGAAACCAAAAAGACAGUAGCUAUCUAAGAGCUGGUCUCAAUGAUGUCUUUU
Sarcophilus harrisii (Tasmanian devil) is the source of this 103-nucleotide non-coding RNA. NCBI's taxonomy places the organism in Eukaryota, Metazoa, Chordata, Mammalia, Dasyuromorphia, Dasyuridae. The record is from Rfam.